Chenopodium quinoa (quinoa) is the source of this 2810-nucleotide RNA transcript. It is a transcript of the gene named protein FAR1-RELATED SEQUENCE 5-like, with no coding region annotated. The record is from RefSeq and is a predicted model, not a curated record. The transcript has 4 exons. NCBI's taxonomy places the organism in Eukaryota, Viridiplantae, Streptophyta, Magnoliopsida, Caryophyllales, Amaranthaceae.
UGUAUUGUUGUGAUUUUAUUGUUUUUCUUUGUAAUGUUGUUAUUCGAUUGAUGUUUUUUCCAGUUUUCUGCAUUUUAAUGAUUGUCUAUAGUUUUAUAAAAUUUGACAUUCAAUUAAUGCUCAUGUAUGUUAUAUUAUAUGUACAUUUACGUUAACAUAGGUGUAAUUACUGUAAUUUACAUUUAUCUAUGUAAUCAUAAAUGUUCAUUUAUAUGUUUUAUUAUCAUUUUGAUAUAUGUUCAUUUAUGUAAUGAUAAAUGAUCAUUAACAGUUUACAUGUGGUUAUUGUACAUUAUUGCUAUUAUUUGUGUUCAUUUGUUACAUUUUAAUAUUGCAGUGGAAAAAAAGAAUGCUAUUUUAUUUGAGGAAGCAGCUAGUUCUGAAUUUUAUGGGAAACAAUUUCCUUCUGAAGAUGUGGCUUAUGAAAUGUUUAAUGAAUAUGCAUUUAGAAAGGGCUUUGGAAUUAGAAUUGGAAAAAGUAAGAGGCGAAGAGAUGAUUCAUUCUCUAUGAAAAGAUUUGUUUGUACAAAUGAGGGUUUUAAAGAUGAUAAGUGCAGGAAUAAUAGGUUGUAUGAGAGACUUAACAUAAGGAUUGGUUGCUUAGCUUUUGUGCAGUUUAGUAUUGACCGUUCAGGUGUAUAUACAUGUACAAGACAUGAGAUGGUUCAUAAUCAUGAAAUGAUUCCUGUUGACAAGAGACAUUUAAUAAGGUCUCAAAGGGAUAUUUCUAAGGAACAUAUUAAUUUCAUUUCUACACUUAGAUUGAGUGGAGUUAAAGUUUCUGAUUCUUUGAGAGCUUUGAAGAAGGAGGUUGGAGGGUCUCCUAACCUUUGUUUUACAGCUCCUGAUGCUUAUAAUGCUAUUUCUGUUGAAAAGACAGCUAAACUUGGGGGAGGUGACAGCAAUCAACUAAUCAAUUUUUUUGCUAAGAGACAAAUUGAUGAAGCAGAUUUCUAUUAUGAUUUUGAACAAGAUGAAAAUGGUGCAUUGGUUAAUUUCUUUUGGAGAGAUGGAAGGAUGAUGAGAGAUUAUCAUUACUUUGGUGAUUUGUUAGUUUUUGAUACUACUUAUAGGACUAACAAACAUGGUAUGAUUUGUGCUCCAUUUGUGGGUAUGAAUCAUCAUGCAAAUAAUGUGAUGUUUGGCAUGGGAUUUAUACUUAAUGAAAGAACAGAAUCAUUUGAGUGGUUAUUUAAUACUUUUCUAACUUCUAUGGGAAGGAGAAGUCCUAUUACUAUUAUGACUGAUCAAGCUCAAGCAAUUGCAGCUAGGAUAAGAAAUAUUUUCCCCAAAGGUGUUCAUCAUAGAUUAUGUGUGUGGCAUAUUGAACAAAAUUCUAAGAAACACAUUGGGGCGUUGAGAGCUUUGGAUGGUUUCACUGAUUUAUUUGGUUAUUUACUGAAGUAUUGUGAAACUCCACCAGAAUUUGAGCAUUAUUGGAAAAGAAUGUUGUUGAAAUAUGACUGUGCAAAUGUUGAUUGGUUGAAUGAUUUGUAUAAAAUCAAAGAGAUGUGGUGUCCAGCUUUUUCAAAGAAAUUUUGGUCAGGAGGUGUGCUUUCAUCUCAACGUAGUGAGACAACUAACAAAUCAGUUUCUCAAAGGCUUAACAAGACACAAGGUCUAUGUGAUUUCUAUCAAGUGUUUCUCGAUGUGGUUCAAGAGUGGAGAAGCAAAGAAAAAGGGAGAGAUUAUAAUACAAUCAGAGGUAAUCGUCAUUUGGCCUUUGCAUACAUUGGGAUUCUUGUUCAUGCUAGAUCAUUGUAUACUAUUCAAGCUUAUGUGCUUUUUGAGGAAGAGUUCAUUAAGGGUACUGCUUGUGAUCAUAAGGAUGCUGGUGUGAAUUUUCCUGAAUAUUAUUAUCAUUUGUGGAGACCUGGGAAAGAUAUGAUCAAGCACGAGGUUGUUUUUAAUAAAGAAACACAUGCAAUAUGUUGUACAUGCAUGUUGUUUAGUGAAAUGGGUUUGCUUUGUUGUCAUGCUCUUUGAAUUUAUCAUAAGAAUUGUGUUCAUAAGAUUCCAGAUGGCUAUAUAUGUAAGAGGUGGACUAAGGCUGCUAUGUGUAGUCAUGGCCUUGAUGAACCUACAAUGAAAACCAAUGUAGUAUCUACAAGUGUUUGGAGGACACAAACACUAAGGAAAUUUGUUAAGUUGGUAACAAGUUGUCAACACUCUUUGAAUGCUAGAGCAGAGGUUGAAUGUUAUUUCAAUCUUUUAAAAUAAAAGAUUGAGAGUGUUACUGGUACUAUUGAUUUUAAUGAACCGGUUGAAGGUAUUGAAAUUGUUGAUCAUGAAGUUAAGAAUCCGGCAAAAUCAAGACCUAUUGGAGAGAGGAAUUAUAGGCCUAAGAGUAAUUUAGAGAAGGCUUAUAACAAAGCCAGGGGUCAGUGGUUGAAGAAAAAGUCAGUAUACACUCCUUAUAAAAGAUCUAAAGGUCAAGCAGUAGUUCAGGUAAUAAUGCACAUUUAUGUUUUUGUUAUUGAUCAUUUAUGUUCAAGAAUUGAACAUUUUUGUUUUGCCUUAGGAAUUGGACGAGAAUGGGUGUCCUAUAUCUUAUGCUAAUUCUUUGGCUGAUCCUAAUGAGUUAAUUGUGAUUGAAGAUCCAAGUGCUCAGGAAUAUGGAUAUAGCUCUAUGCAAUCAAACGUUACUGUUGAUCCAGACAUAUCUUCUAUUGUUAAGGGUAAAACAGCUGCAAUUGCUCAUGAUGUUGAUAAUUUUCCAACAAGUUCUUAAUUGCCACCAAAGAAACCAAGAAAUGUACAAUUUCCCACAGUUGUGCAUGCUCAAAUCAAUGCUCAAGCUCCUUCUAAAG